CAAACGGCCCUUUUCAGGGCCACUACAUUUCUAUGCAACCGACUG
Non-coding RNA from Trichuris muris, 45 nucleotides. Lineage: Eukaryota; Metazoa; Nematoda; Enoplea; Trichinellida; Trichuridae. The record is from Rfam.